Molecule: ribosomal RNA, 402 nt
Filed under: uncultured bacterium
Lineage: Bacteria
Description: bacterial SSU rRNA
Rfam family: Bacterial small subunit ribosomal RNA
Source: RNAcentral
UCGGGAAUUUUGGGCAAUGGGCGAAAGCCUGACCCAGCAACGCCGCGUGAGGGAUGAAGUAUUUCGGUAUGUAAACCUCAAAAGAAUGGGAAGAAUAAAUGACGGUACCAUUUAUAAGCUCCGGCUAACUACGUGCCAGCAGCCGCGGUAAUACGUAGGGAGCAAGCGUUGUUCGGAUUUACUGGGCGUAAAGGGCACGUAGGCGGCGCGGUAAGUCACUUGUGAAAUCUCUGAGCUUAACUCAGAACGGCCAAGUGAUACUGCUGUGCUAGAGUGCGGAGGAGGCAACCGGAAUUCUUGGUGUAGCGGUGAAAUGCGUAGAUAUCAAGAGGAACACCUGAGGCGAAGGCGGGUUGCUGGGCCGACACUGACGCUGAUGCGCGAAAGCCAGGGGAGCAAACG